RNAcentral lists this ribosomal RNA (460 nucleotides) under uncultured bacterium. Its description in RNAcentral is "partial 16S ribosomal RNA". It matches the Rfam family "Bacterial small subunit ribosomal RNA", at positions 338 to 795 of the family's 1533-position model. The record is from RNAcentral.
CCUACGGGAGGCAGCAGUGAGGAAUAUUGGUCAAUGGGCGCUAGCCUGAACCAGCCAAGUAGCGUGAAGGAUGACUGCCCUAUGGGUUGUAAACUUCUUUUAUAUGGGAAUAAAGUGCAGUAUGUAUACUGCUUUGCAUGUACCUUAUGAAUAAGGAUCGGCUAACUCCGUGCCAGCAGCCGCGGUAAUACGGAGGAUUCGGGCGUUAUCCGGAUUUAUUGGGUUUAAAGGGGACGUAGGCGGGUUGGUAAGUCCGUUGGUAAAGUUUGCGGGUCAACCGUACAAUUGCAGUUGAUACUGGCAUCCUUGAGUACAGGAGAGGUAGGCGGAAUUCGUGGUGUAGCGGUGAAAUGCUUAGAUAUCACGAAGAACUCCGAGUGCGAAGGCAGCCUGCUGGACUGUAACUGACGCUGAUGCUCGAAAGUGUGGGUAUCAAACAGGAUUAGAUACCCUUGUAGUC